GCCAGAGUAGCUCAGCGGUAGAGCAAUCGCUUCGUAAGCGAUAGGUCGUGAGUUCAAGUCUCACCUCUGGCU
This 72-nucleotide transfer RNA is filed under the name Candidatus Nealsoniibacteriota bacterium. RNAcentral's name for it is "tRNA-Thr". It matches the Rfam family "tRNA". From Rfam's summary of the family: Transfer RNA (tRNA) molecules are approximately 80 nucleotides in length. Their secondary structure includes four short double-helical elements and three loops (D, anti-codon, and T loops). The record is from RNAcentral. RNAcentral also lists the same sequence under 1 other name. Lineage: Bacteria; Candidatus Nealsoniibacteriota.